CCUACGGGGGGCAGCAGUGAGGAAUAUUGGUCAAUGGUCGGGAGACUGAACCAGCCAAGCCGCGUGAGGGAUGAAGGUACAGAGUAUCGUAAACCUCCUUUGUCAGGGAACAAAGUCGGGUACGUGUCCCCUGAUGAGUGUACCUGAAGAAAAAGUAUCGGCUAACUCCGUGCCAGCAGCCGCGGUAAUACGGAGGAUGCGAGCGUUAUCCGGAUUUAUUGGGUUUAAAGGGUGCGCAGGGGGUCUAUUAAGUCAGCGGUCAAAGCCCGUGGCUCAACCCUCGCACCGCCGUUGAAACUGGCAGUCUCGAGUAGGAGAGAAGUAUGCGGAAUGCGCGGUGUAGCGGUGAAAUGCAUAGAUAUCGCGCAGAACUCCGAUUGCGAAGGCAGCAUGCCGGCUCCAAACUGACGCUGAGGCACGAAAGCGUGGGUAUCGAACAGGAUUAGAUACCCUAGUAGUC
RNAcentral lists this ribosomal RNA (460 nucleotides) under uncultured bacterium. RNAcentral describes it as "partial 16S ribosomal RNA". It matches the Rfam family "Bacterial small subunit ribosomal RNA", at positions 338 to 795 of the family's 1533-position model. The record is from RNAcentral.